AUUGAACGCUGGCGGCAGGCCUAACACAUGCAAGUCGAGCGCGAAAAUUCCUUCGGGGAUGAGUAGAGCGGCGGACGGGUGAGUAAUGCGCAGAAAUCUGCCCAGUAGUGGGGGACAACCUGGUGAAAACCAGGCUAAUACCGCAUACGCCUACGGGGAAAGGCAGGGAGUCUUCGGACCUUGCGCUAUUGGAUGAGUCUGCGUCGGAUUAGCUUGUUGGUGAGGUAAUGGCUCACCAAGGCGACGAUCCGUAGCUGGUCUGAGAGGAUGAUCAGCCACACUGGGACUGAGACACGGCCCAGACUCCUACGGGAGGCAGCAGUGGGGAAUAUUGGACAAUGGGCGAAAGCCUGAUCCAGCCAUGCCGCGUGUGUGAAGAAGGCUCUAGGGUUGUAAAGCACUUUCAGUGGGGAAGAAAGCUUGUUAGCUAAUAACUGACGAGUGUGACAUUACCCACAGAAGAAGCACCGGCUAACUCCG
This 480-nucleotide ribosomal RNA is filed under the name uncultured bacterium. RNAcentral's name for it is "bacterial SSU rRNA". It matches the Rfam family "Bacterial small subunit ribosomal RNA", at positions 30 to 505 of the family's 1533-position model. The record is from RNAcentral.